This 219-nucleotide unclassified non-coding RNA is filed under the name Basidiomycota sp. RNAcentral's name for it is "partial contains small subunit ribosomal RNA, internal transcribed spacer 1, and 5.8S ribosomal RNA". The stretch from base 1 to 47 matches the Rfam family "Eukaryotic small subunit ribosomal RNA", at positions 1785 to 1831 of the family's 1831-position model. The record is from RNAcentral. Lineage: Eukaryota; Fungi; Basidiomycota.
AAAGUCGUAACAAGGUUUCCGUAGGUGAACCUGCGGAAGGAUCAUUACCAAAUCCAAACAACAACCACUGUGAACUGUAUCCAUGUCCUUAGGGAAAGCAUUUGUGGUCGAGUAUUCGGCCUCAUCUCGCUUUCCCUGUUGAACACCCUUUAAACUUUGCUGGAUUGUUUUUCAAACGAUUAACAAAGACAACUUUUAACGGUGGAUCUCUUGGCUCGU